This 485-nucleotide ribosomal RNA is filed under the name uncultured bacterium. RNAcentral's name for it is "partial 16S ribosomal RNA". It matches the Rfam family "Bacterial small subunit ribosomal RNA", at positions 899 to 1397 of the family's 1533-position model. The record is from RNAcentral.
ACUCAAAUGAAUUGACGGGGACCCGCACAAGCGGAGGAUGAUGUGGUUUAAUAUGACGGUACGCGUAAAACCUUACCCAGACUUGACAUCCUUGGAAUCCACUGGAAACAGAGGAGUGCCUUCGGGAACCAAGUGACAGGUACUGCAUGGCCGUCGUCAGCUCGUGUCGUGAGAUGUUGGGUUAAGUCCCGCAACGAGCGCAACCCUUAUCGUAUGUUGGAUUUUUCAUGCGAUACUGCCCGGGCCAACCGGGAGGAAGGUGGGGAUGAGGUCAGGUCUGCAUGGUCCUUAUGUCUGGGGCUACUCACGUCAUACAAUGGCCGGUACAGAGCGCCGCAAAGCCGCGAGGUGGAGCUAAUCGCAUCAAAACCGGUCUCAGUUCGGAUUGGAGGCUGCAACUCGCCUCCAUGAAGUCGGAUUCGCUAGUAAACGCAGGUCAGCACACUGCGUUGAAUACGUUCCCGGGUCUUGUACACACCGCCCGU